UUUAGAGUUUGAUUCCCUGGCUCAGGACGAACGCUGGCGGCGUGCCUAAUACAUGCAAGUCGAGCGGGGUUAUUUUUUCGGAGUCCUUCGGGAUAAAGAAGCUAUAACCUAGCGGCGGACGGGUGAGUAACGCGUGGGUAACCUGCCCUAGAGCCCGGGAUAACAGCGAGAAAUUGUUGCUAAUACCGGAUACCUUCUUUUAAAGGCCUCUUUGAAAGAAGAAAGGAAACGCUCUAGGAUGGGCCCGCGUCCCAUUAGCUAGUUGGUGAGGUAACGACUCACCAAGGCGACGAUGGGUAGCCGGCCUGAGAGGGUGGGCGGCCACACUGGGACUGAGACACGGCCCAGACUCCUACGGGAGGCAGCAGUAGGGAAUAUUGCGCAAUGGGGGCAACCCUGACGCAGCGACGCCGCGUGAGUGAUGAAGGUCUUCGGAUCGUAAAGCUCUGUCCUCAGGGAAGAAGAAUGGACGUACCUGAGAGAAGCCCCGCA
Molecule: ribosomal RNA, 492 nt
Filed under: uncultured bacterium
Lineage: Bacteria
Description: bacterial SSU rRNA
Rfam family: Bacterial small subunit ribosomal RNA
Source: RNAcentral